Molecule: long non-coding RNA, 1758 nt
Organism: Ictalurus punctatus (channel catfish)
Lineage: Eukaryota; Metazoa; Chordata; Actinopteri; Siluriformes; Ictaluridae
Source: Ensembl
GUGUGGGGCGAACACGUCUGCCCCGGACCAUCGCGGAUUUCCGCGGACGAGACUUCGUGGUGCAGGUGUUGGAUAAGUACAACCCUCCAGACCACUUCCUGCCGGAGUCAUACACGUGCUUCUUCCUGCUCAAGCUGCCUCGUUACUCGUGCAAACUGGUGCUGGAGGAGAAACUGAAGUACGCCAUACACUUCUGCAAUCCAUCGACACGGACGACUACGCUCGCAUCGCUCUGAGCGGAGAGCCCGCCGCCGACGACUCCACCGACGACUCGGACAACGACGACGCCGACUCCUUCGCCUCCGACUCCACACAGGACUACCUGACUGCACACUGACAUGCUCUCUCUCACACACUCUCACACGCGCACACUCUCACACGCACACUCUCACACGUACACUCUCACACGCACACUCUCACACGCACACUCUCCGAUGUCGAGAGUCGUCAAACAUGCUGCCAAGAAAAAAGAAAAGACACUCAAUCUAAAGAUGUGUUUAAAACUCCCAUAAACACACACACACACACACACACCACAUGUAUCUGUACUACCACAACUAAAAUCUUUAUGUGCAAUUAGCUUUAAAAGCACUAUAAGCUGGUGAAGAUAAAAUAAAACUUGGAAUUUUUUUAUUAGUUUAUUUAAAAAAAAAAAGAAGCCGGAGCCAGGGAGGGGGAGAAACUGGACAUCGUUUGAUCGAUUGUAGACGUCGUGUUUGUAUUUUCGGACCGUGUAGCCUAGCACUGUGCUGACGACCCCUGAUGGACUCGCUGUAUCGUUUAAACGAUCGAGCAGCAGCUUCUUCGUCCUUUUCUUUUCAUUUCCUCGGGGGAAUAAAAACGUGCAGUGCUUUUCUUUUCUGUUUUUUUUUUGUUUGUUUUUUUAAUUUUAAUUUUUUUACUUUUCCCCCGAAUAACCUUGAACACGAGCGCGAGCUGUCUCGCUCUGAUUGGUCGGUGUUAUCUGGAGCUCAUUCAGGGGUUGUUUUCAGGGCGUCGGUCGCCGUAUUCACUACCCAGACCCCUGCUCCGCCCUCCUCCUCCUCGUCCUCUGUGUCCGUGUGUGUUUGGCUUCCUGACGAACUGUAAAUAACGUUAUUGUGCCAUGUGUUCAUAAGACGUCUCAUUCCGAUGUAAUAAUGUUAAUAAAUUCCUGUUUAAAACAAACAUUAAACUGAAAUGUUACCGAUUGGUGUUCAUCUCCUUUAACAGCGGAGCAGCUACGUGUGUCACAGGUUUACCUUGCGUUCUAAUACGCUAUGCUUUCUAUAGUAAUGGCUCAUUCACUGGGACUUGUACCUUUUAUUCCUUAAAUAUUUAUAGCCCCAGUUCCAAAAAAGUUGGCACGGGGCAAAAAAAAAAAAGGCUGGAAAAGUAAGUGUUGGUAAAAAGAAUCAGCUGGAGGUUGAUUGGGAACGGGUCAGUGAGAUGACUGGGUAUAAAAGAGGGUCUUAGAGAGGCGGAGUCUUUCAGAAGUAAAGAUGGGCAGAAGUUCACCAAUCUGCGAAAAACUGCGUCUACGAUUUAUGGAACAAUUUCAGAAUAAUGUUCCUCAACGUAAAAUUGCGAAGACUAUAAAUAUGUCAUCGUCUACAGGACAUCAUAUCAUCAAAAGACUCCGAGAAUCUGGAGUAAUCUGUGUGUAAGGGACGAGGGUGAAAAUCAAUAUCGCAUGCCCGUGAUCUUCAGGUCCUCAGGCGGCACUGCAUUAAAAACAGGCCUGAUUCUGUAAUGGAAAUCACUGCAUGGGCUCAGAAA